AUUGAACGCUGGCGUCAGGCCUAACACAUGCAAGUCGAACGAGUGGCGGACGGGUGAGUAAUGUAUGGGAAACUGCCUGAUGGAGGGGGAUAACUACUGGAAAAGGUAGCUAAUACCGCAUACCAUCGGAUGUGCCAAGAUGGGAUUAGCUAGUAGGUGGGGUAACGGCUCACCUAGGCGACGAUCCCUAGCUGGUCUGAGAGGAUGACCAGCCACACUUGAACUGAGACACGGUCCAGACUCCUACGGGAGGCAGCUGUGGGGAAUAUUGCACAAGGGGCGCAAGCCUGAUGCAGCCAUGCCGCGUGUAGGAUGAAGGCCUUCGGGUUGUAAAGUACUUGCAGCGGGGAGGCGUUACCCGCAGAAGAAGCAACGGCUAACUCCGUGCCAGCAGCCGCGGUAAUAC
Molecule: ribosomal RNA, 406 nt
Filed under: uncultured bacterium
Lineage: Bacteria
Description: partial 16S ribosomal RNA
Rfam family: Bacterial small subunit ribosomal RNA
Source: RNAcentral